RNAcentral lists this ribosomal RNA (430 nucleotides) under Bacillota bacterium. Its description in RNAcentral is "Firmicutes bacterium partial 16S ribosomal RNA". It matches the Rfam family "Bacterial small subunit ribosomal RNA", at positions 355 to 776 of the family's 1533-position model. Lineage: Bacteria; Bacillati; Bacillota. The record is from RNAcentral.
UGGGGAAUAUUGGACAAUGGGCGCAAGCCUGAUCCAGCCAUGCCGCGUGUGUGAAGAAGGCCUUUUGGUUGUAAAGCACUUUAAGCGAGGAGGAGGCUACUUGGAUUAAUACUCUAGGAUAGUGGACGCUACUCGCAGAAUAAGCACCGGCUAACUCUGUGCCAGCAGCCGCGGUAAUACAGAGGGUGCGAGCGUUAAUCGGAUUUACUGGGCGUAAAGCGUGCGUAGGCGGCUUCUUAAGUCGGAUGUGAAAUCCCUGUGCUUAACUUAGGAAAUGCAUUCGAUACUGGGAAGCUAGAGUAUGGGAGAGGCUGGUGGAAUUCCAGGUGUAGCGGUGAAAUGCGUGGAGAUCUGGAGGAAUACCGAUGGCGAAGGCAGCUAACUGGCUCAAUACUGACGCUGAGGUACGAAAGCAUGGGGAGCAAACAGG